RNAcentral lists this ribosomal RNA (446 nucleotides) under uncultured bacterium. RNAcentral describes it as "bacterial SSU rRNA". It matches the Rfam family "Bacterial small subunit ribosomal RNA", at positions 330 to 792 of the family's 1533-position model. The record is from RNAcentral.
CCCAGACUCCUACGGGAGGCAGCAGUGGGGAAUAUUGCACAAUGGGGGGAACCCUGAUGCAGCGACGCCGCGUGAGUGAAGAAGUAUUUCGGUAUGUAAAGCUCUGUCAGCAGGGAAGAAGAAAGACGGUACCUGACCAAGAAGCCCCGGCUAACUACGUGCCAGCAGCCGCGGUAAUACGUAGGGGGCAAGCGUUAUCCGGAUUUACUGGGUGUAAAGGGAGCGUAGACGGCAGUGCAAGUCUGGAGUGAAAGGCGGGGGCUCAACCCCCGGACUGCUCUGGAAACUGUACGGCUGGAGUGCAGGAGAGGUAAGUGGAAUUCCUAGUGUAGCGGUGAAAUGCGUAGAUAUUAGGAGGAACGCCAGUGGCGAAGGCGGCUUACUGGACUGUAACUGACGUUGAGGCUCGAAAGCGUGGGGAGCAAACAGGAUUAGAUACCCGGGUA